UAGCUCAUCAGCUAUUGUUAGUGUUAAGUGUAUUUUAUGCAUGGCCCAAGACAAUUCUUCUUCUUCCAACGUGACCCAAGGAAGUCAAAAGAUUGGACAUCUCUGCUGUAAAUCUUCAUCCUCAUCUGCCCCCAAAAUCACUGCCACCAUUAAUCAAGGCAAAUGUGUACUAGAGAAACAGAAAACCUAGAUCUUUGAAGGAUUAUUGAAAACUGCAUCCAUUACUAAUGCUAAUUCCUAUGGACCUGGAAUACCACUGUUGCCCACCAGUCAGAGAAGGGAUUUAUGGUGAGUUAGGUGGCUUCAUUUGACCAAAACAGAUAUACAGAGACUCUGGCACUUGGUAUGCAUCCGUGGAUUUGCCAAAUAUUUCUCUAUUAUGACACACACUAGAAGCAGAAGCAGGUUAGUUGUUCAUUCAUUUGUUCGUUCAUUUGUUUGUUGUACCUGGCAAGGACAAUAGUACAUCUUUUCCUUACUUACCUCAGUAUUGUUACCUCUCUGGUGCUGGGCUUAAGUUUGGUCUGUGGGAACCUGAACCAUCUCAAGGGACAUCAAGUUGAUAGAAUCUAGGGAGCUGAAGUAGCAGACACCAAGGAUGCCUGGGUAAAAAAAUUCACAACAAUGGGUAGAAGAGAAAUCUCCCAAAGCUACAGAAG
RNAcentral lists this long non-coding RNA (659 nucleotides) under Homo sapiens (human). RNAcentral describes it as "HSALNT0272678". Lineage: Eukaryota; Metazoa; Chordata; Mammalia; Primates; Hominidae. The record is from RNAcentral.